This 421-nucleotide ribosomal RNA is filed under the name uncultured eukaryote. RNAcentral describes it as "SSU rRNA". It matches the Rfam family "Eukaryotic small subunit ribosomal RNA", at positions 592 to 1018 of the family's 1831-position model. The record is from RNAcentral.
CAAUAGCGUAUAUUAAAGUUGUUGCGGUUAAAAAGCUCGUAGUUGGAUUUCUGCCGAGGACGACCGGUCCGCCCUCUGGGUGAGUAUCUGGUUCGGCCUGGGCAUCUUCUUGGAGAACGUAUCUGCACUUGACUGUGUGGUGCGGUAUCCAGGACUUUUACUUUGAGGAAAUUAGAGUGUUUCAAGCAGGCACACGCCUUGAAUACAUUAGCAUGGAAUAAUAAGAUAGGACUUUGAGUCUAUUUUGUUGGUUUGCGAGUCAAAGUAAUGAUUAAUAGGGACAGUUGGGGGUAUUCGUAUUUCAUUGUCAGAGGUGAAAUUCUUGGAUUUCUGAAAGACGAACUACUGCGAAAGCAUUUACCAAGGAUGUUUUCAUUAAUCAAGAACGAAAGUUAGGGGAUCGAAGAUGAUCAGAUACCGU